AGCUCCAAUAGCGUAUAUUAAAGUUGUUGCAGUUAAAAAGCUCGUAGUUGGACCUGUGGUUGGGGCGGCCGGUCCGGCACUCUGUGCGGGUACCUGGCCUCCCCGGCCAUCCUUGGGUGGAAACUGUGUGGCAUUAGGUUGUCGUGCAGGGGAUGCCCAUCUUUUACUGUGAAAAAAUUAGAGUGUUCAAAGCAGGCUUAUGCCGUUGAAUAUAUUAGCAUGGAAUAAUGAGAUAGGACCUCGGUACUAUUUUGUUGGUUUGCGCACCGGGGUAAUGAUUAACAGGGACAGUUGGGGGUAUUCGUAUUCCAUUGUCAGAGGUGAAAUUCUUGGAUUUCUGGAAGACGAACUACUGCGAAAGCAUUUACCAAGGAUGUUUUCA
Molecule: ribosomal RNA, 382 nt
Filed under: fish environmental sample
Lineage: Eukaryota; Metazoa; Chordata
Description: SSU rRNA
Rfam family: Eukaryotic small subunit ribosomal RNA
Source: RNAcentral